CAUCGCCUCCUGCCCACUCAGCAUAGGAGGUCCCGCCUGCCCUGUGACCAAAAGUUUAACGGCCGCGGUAUUUUAACCGUGCAAAGGUAGCGCAAUCAAUUGUCUUUUAAAUGAAGACCUGUAUGAAUGGCAUAACGAGGGUUUAACUGUCUCUUUUUUCAGGUCAAUGAAACUGAUCUGUCCGUGCAGAAGCGGACAUACUAACACAAGACGAGAAGACCCUAUGGAGCUUUAGACGCCCACCAACCGCGAAAAGCAGCCUACCUUAACAGAUGCUCUAAACAACGCGGUCCUGGUACAAACGUCUUCGGUUGGGGCGACCGCGGAGGAGAACAAAGCCUCCGAGAGGAAUGGGAACAAACCCUAAAACCAAGAGCCACAGCUCUAAGUCACAAAAAAUUUGACCGACAAUGAUCCGGCUUACUGCCGAUCAACGGACCAAGUUACCCUAGGGAUAACAGCGCAAUCCCCUCCCAGAGUCCAUAUCGACGAGGGGGUUUACGACCUCGAUGUUGGAUCAGGACAUCCUAAUGGUGCAGCCGCUAUUAAGGGUUCGUUUGUUCAACGAUUAAAGUCCUACGUG
This 583-nucleotide ribosomal RNA is filed under the name Sardinella aurita (round sardinella). Its description in RNAcentral is "partial 16S ribosomal RNA". It matches the Rfam family "Bacterial large subunit ribosomal RNA", at positions 1814 to 2602 of the family's 2925-position model. The record is from RNAcentral. Lineage: Eukaryota; Metazoa; Chordata; Actinopteri; Clupeiformes; Clupeidae.